RNAcentral lists this ribosomal RNA (454 nucleotides) under uncultured bacterium. Its description in RNAcentral is "partial 16S ribosomal RNA". It matches the Rfam family "Bacterial small subunit ribosomal RNA", at positions 28 to 507 of the family's 1533-position model. The record is from RNAcentral.
GAUGAACGCUGACAGAAUGCUUAACACAUGCAAGUCUACUUGAACUUCGGUUUGGGUGGCGGACGGGUGAGUAACGCGUAAAGAACUUGCCUCACAGUUAGGGACAACAUUUGGAAACGAAUGCUAAUACCUGAUAUUAUGAUUUUAGGGCAUCCUAAAAUUAUGAAAGCUAUAUGCGCUGUGAGAGAGCUUUGCGUCCCAUUAGCUAGUUGGAGAGGUAACGGCUCACCAAGGCGAUGAUGGGUAGCCGGCCUGAGAGGGUGAACGGCCACAAGGGGACUGAGACACGGCCCUUACUCAUACGGGAGGCAGCAGUGGGGAAUAUUGGACAAUGGACCAAAAGUCUGAUCCAGAAAUUCUGUGUGCACGAUGACGUUUUUCGGAAUGUAAAGUGCUUUCAGUUGGGAAGAAAAAAAUGACGGUACCAACAGAAGAAGUGACGGCUAAAUACGUG